GGCGUCUCGGGCUAUGGUGGCCCCAGCGUCGUCGACCAGGAACCCGGUGAGAGUCCGGGACGGUCCCGCCACUGUGAGCCGUCACCCGCGAGGGAGGCGGUGAGUCAGGAACUGCCGGCAGCGCCUCACCUUC
Molecule: non-coding RNA, 133 nt
Organism: Terrabacter sp. 28
Lineage: Bacteria; Bacillati; Actinomycetota; Actinomycetes; Micrococcales; Intrasporangiaceae
Source: Rfam